GUACGGAGGAUGCGAGCGUUAUCCGGAUUUAUUGGGUUUAAAGGGUGCGUAGGCGGGAUUAUAAGUCAGCGGUGAAAGUUUGAGGCUCAACCUUAAAAUUGCCGUUGAAACUGUUUUUCUUGAGUAUAUUUGAAGUAGGCGGAAUUCGUGGUGUAGCGGUGAAAUGCAUAGAUAUCACGAAGAACUCCAAUUGCGAAGGCAGCUUACUAAACUAUAACUGACGCUGAAGCACGAAAGCGUGGGUAUC
This 247-nucleotide ribosomal RNA is filed under the name uncultured bacterium. RNAcentral's name for it is "partial 16S ribosomal RNA". It matches the Rfam family "Bacterial small subunit ribosomal RNA", at positions 523 to 769 of the family's 1533-position model. The record is from RNAcentral.